RNAcentral lists this ribosomal RNA (1508 nucleotides) under metagenome. Its description in RNAcentral is "bacterial SSU rRNA". It matches the Rfam family "Bacterial small subunit ribosomal RNA". The record is from RNAcentral.
AGAGUUUGACCCUGGCUCAGGACGAACGCUGGCGGCGUGCCUAAUACAUGCAAGUCGAGCGGACAGAUGGGAGCUUGCUCCCUGAUGUUAGCGGCGGACGGGUGAGUAACACGUGGGUAACCUGCCUGUAAGACUGGGAUAACUCCGGGAAACCGGGGCUAAUACCGGAUGGUUGUUUGAACCGCAUGGUUCAAACAUAAAAGGUGGCUUCGGCUACCACUUACAGAUGGACCCGCGGCGCAUUAGCUAGUUGGUGAGGUAACGGCUCACCAAGGCGACGAUGCGUAGCCGACCUGAGAGGGUGAUCGGCCACACUGGGACUGAGACACGGCCCAGACUCCUACGGGAGGCAGCAGUAGGGAAUCUUCCGCAAUGGACGAAAGUCUGACGGAGCAACGCCGCGUGAGUGAUGAAGGUUUUCGGAUCGUAAAGCUCUGUUGUUAGGGAAGAACAAGUACCGUUCGAAUAGGGCGGUACCUUGACGGUACCUAACCAGAAAGCCACGGCUAACUACGUGCCAGCAGCCGCGGUAAUACGUAGGUGGCAAGCGUUGUCCGGAAUUAUUGGGCGUAAAGGGCUCGCAGGCGGUUUCUUAAGUCUGAUGUGAAAGCCCCCGGCUCAACCGGGGAGGGUCAUUGGAAACUGGGGAACUUGAGUGCAGAAGAGGAGAGUGGAAUUCCACGUGUAGCGGUGAAAUGCGUAGAGAUGUGGAGGAACACCAGUGGCGAAGGCGACUCUCUGGUCUGUAACUGACGCUGAGGAGCGAAAGCGUGGGGAGCGAACAGGAUUAGAUACCCUGGUAGUCCACGCCGUAAACGAUGAGUGCUAAGUGUUAGGGGGUUUCCGCCCCUUAGUGCUGCAGCUAACGCAUUAAGCACUCCGCCUGGGGAGUACGGUCGCAAGACUGAAACUCAAAGGAAUUGACGGGGGCCCGCACUAGCGGUGGAGCAUGUGGUUUAAUUCGAAGCAACGCGAAGAACCUUACCAGGUCUUGACAUCCUCUGACAAUCCUAGAGAUAGGACGUCCCCUUCGGGGGCAGAGUGACAGGUGGUGCAUGGUUGUCGUCAGCUCGUGUCGUGAGAUGUUGGGUUAAGUCCCGCAACGAGCGCAACCCUUGAUCUUAGUUGCCAGCAUUCAGUUGGGCACUCUAAGGUGACUGCCGGUGACAAACCGGAGGAAGGUGGGGAUGACGUCAAAUCAUCAUGCCCCUUAUGACCUGGGCUACACACGUGCUACAAUGGACAGAACAAAGGGCAGCGAAACCGCGAGGUUAAGCCAAUCCCACAAAUCUGUUCUCAGUUCGGAUCGCAGUCUGCAACUCGACUGCGUGAAGCUGGAAUCGCUAGUAAUCGCGGAUCAGCAAGCCGCGGUGAAUACGUUCCCGGGCCUUGUACACACCGCCCGUCACACCACGAGAGUUUGUAACACCCGAAGUCGGUGAGGUAACCUUUUAGGAGCCAGCCGCCGAAGGUGGGACAGAUGAUUGGGGUGAAGUCGCAACAAGGUA